UACGGAGGGAGCUAGCGUUGUUCGGAAUUACUGGGCGUAAAGCGCGCGUAGGCGGCUUUGUAAGUUAGAGGUGAAAGCCCGGAGCUCAACUCCGGAACUGCCUUUAAAACUGCAUCGCUUGAAUCCAGGAGAGGUGAGUGGAAUUCCGAGUGUAGAGGUGAAAUGCGUAGAUAUCGAGAGGAACACCAGUGGCGAAGGCGAGUCCCUGGACAACACCUGACACUGAGGCACGAAAGCUAGGGGAGCAAACAGG
This 253-nucleotide ribosomal RNA is filed under the name uncultured bacterium. RNAcentral describes it as "partial 16S ribosomal RNA". It matches the Rfam family "Bacterial small subunit ribosomal RNA", at positions 524 to 776 of the family's 1533-position model. The record is from RNAcentral.